GACGAACGCUGGCGGCGUGCCUAAUACAUGCAAGUCGAGCGCAGGAAGCUGACGGAACUCUUCGGAGGGAAGGCAGUGGAAUGAGCGGCGGACGGGUGAGUAACACGUAAGGAACCUGCCUCAAGGAUUGGGAUAACUCCGAGAAAUCGGAGCUAAUACCGGAUAGUUCAACGGACCGCAUGGUCCGCUGAUGAAAGGCGCUUCGGCGUCACCUUGAGAUGGCCUUGCGGUGCAUUAGCUAGUUGGUGAGGUAACGGCCCACCAAGGCGACGAUGCAUAGCCGACCUGAGAGGGUGAUCGGCCACACUGGGACUGAGACACGGCCCAGACUCCUACGGGAGGCAGCAGUAGGGAAUCUUCCACAAUGGACGAAAGUCUGAUGGAGCAACGCCGCGUGAGUGAUAAAGGUUUUCGGAUCGUAAAACUCUGUUGUAAGGGAAGAACACGUACGAGAGGAAAUGCUCGUACCUUGACGGUACCUUACGAGAAAGCCACGGCUAACUACGUGCCAGCCGCCGCGGUAA
This 524-nucleotide ribosomal RNA is filed under the name uncultured bacterium. Its description in RNAcentral is "partial 16S ribosomal RNA". It matches the Rfam family "Bacterial small subunit ribosomal RNA", at positions 28 to 523 of the family's 1533-position model. The record is from RNAcentral.